RNAcentral lists this ribosomal RNA (954 nucleotides) under Triticum aestivum (bread wheat). RNAcentral's name for it is "partial small subunit ribosomal RNA". Lineage: Eukaryota; Viridiplantae; Streptophyta; Magnoliopsida; Poales; Poaceae. The record is from RNAcentral.
AUGGAUCUCUGGGAGAGGGCGCGGUCCUUCGCCGGCGAGGCGGCAAAGCGCUCGCAGGAGCUGUCGCUGGAGGCGGCCAAGCGGUCGUCGGUGCUGGUGUCGGAGACGGCGAAGAAGUCCAAGGAGAUCUUCUCGGAGACUGCCAUCAAGUCCCGCGAGAUGGCCGCGGAGGCGACCAAGCAGGCCGACCUCCUCGCCGGCCAGAUCAUGCACCUCGCCUCGGACAUCCCCGUCCCCUCCAUCCCGCCCAUCCCCGCGAUCUCGCCCCUCCCCUCCGCGGCCGAGUCGGAGCCCGACGCCGCCGAGCUCGAGCGCUACGGCAUCACCGACGACCUCCGCGAGUUCGUCAACGGCAUGACCAUAAGCACCUUCCGCGACUUCCCCUUGCAAGAUGAGCCGGAGAUGUCUGAUGUGCCCACGGUGUCGAAUGUGCGUCAGGAUCUGAACGAAUGGCAGGCUAGGCACGCCACUCUCGUCCUCUCGGCCGUCAAGGUUUUGUUUCGAUUAACCAUUUCAGUCAGUGGGGGUUUAAUGCAUGAAAUUUCAAAGUUCAGAUAUGAGCUGUGCCCAAGAUACAUGAAAGAGCGUAAAUUCUGGCGAGUUUAUUUCUUGCUAGUAAACAACUAUGUAACCCCUUACGAGACCAAAUAUUUUGAGGAGCUGAAAGUGAAAGCCGAGGAGGAAAAAAUGGUUGCCCAGAAGGAAAUAUCACAGACCUCACAAACUACAACUUCAGAACAGAAAGACAUGAAGGUGCCAAGCAAGACAUCUACCUCAUCAAAUCGAGAGCAGGAUCUGGAUGUAUUUCUUCUUGGAGAUCUAGGCAGUGAUGAUGAGGGUCCUGAUGCUGGCGAUGAUGAUGAGCUAGACGAUGACUUUGAUAAGAUAGAUGGUGCCUCAGUAAGUACACCUGCUUCCCUUAAAAUAGAUACCGUCACUAGCCACAGUUUAUAA